Molecule: transfer RNA, 73 nt
Filed under: Felis catus (domestic cat)
Lineage: Eukaryota; Metazoa; Chordata; Mammalia; Carnivora; Felidae
Also listed under: 2 other names
Rfam family: tRNA
About the family: Transfer RNA (tRNA) molecules are approximately 80 nucleotides in length.
Source: Rfam by way of RNAcentral
GCCUGGAUGGCUCAGUCAGUAGAGCAUGUGACUCUUGAUCUCAGGGUUGUGAGUUCAAGCCCCAUGUUCGGUG